AGGCGCCACCUAGGUCACGUGACCUACGUCCCGGUACCAGCAAGUCACUGCGCCGCAGCACACGGAAUAAGGAUUAGAACCCGUCUUUUUCGUCUGUGCUGUCUGAUCCUGUACUGCUUCUUCCCAAAGAGAAACUGUUCGUGAAUUGCACCGUGCCAAAGACUGAAUCCGGGAUCCACCAACCUUUUUUCUUUGUGUUUCACCACACAUUUUUUGAAGAAUCCAGGCAAGUUUUCUUGAAAAUAUUCCAUAUUCUGAAUUCGUCUAAUUUUUUCUUCAAAGUGAUUCAGGUUUAUUAUCUUACUCGCCAUCAGAAGACACAAUGUCAGGUUGUCCAAAUAUUGGUGAUGCGAAAUUUGAUCACUUCGAAAAAGUGGUGUCCACUUCUCCAUGGCAAUGGCACAUUUUUCUUUUUGUAGUUGGUAAGUACUCUGUGGGGUGAUACUUCGAAAUUGUGGGAAUAUUCCGUUCCCCAUCACCUCUACAUCCAAUAGUUUUAGCACCAGUUGAUGAUCCUUGCCUGAAUCCGUUAUAUUGGGAAAUUGCAAAAGGGUGAUUUUUCUAAUUCUUUAAUUCCUUCUAAAAAAGAAAAAGAAAAAAAUUCCUUCUACAUUUAUUAACUGCACUUACUCAGUAAAGAACUUUCCCUUUUCUUACCUCCUUUCUUGCAUUUUUAUUUUCAUGUGUUAAUAAUCCAACACCAUCAUUAUCCUUUUUGAUGCUCAAACUGUCCCAAAUUUGUCCAGUGGGAAUCACUUCACUCUGGCUCCUGUGUUCUUUUGACAUGACCCCAUUUGUAUCAGAACUUCCUCGCUUUUUGGCACAAGAUGUUCCAGGCUUACUCUAUGCAUUCCCUGUCUGGGACCUGAUAUAAGCCAUUUCUCCAAGGAGUCCUGGUUCCUUUUAGUGGGGAAGGGUGCUUAGAAACUGGGGCAUCAUUGCUUAUAGGCCCUUUCAGUGGAGAGAGCUAAAAAAAUUUAAUGAAUAAUGAGUUUAUACCAGUACCUUCAAAAUCUAACCCAGAGGGUUCUCUUUUUCCUUUCGCCAUUUCAUAUGUGUGUCUUGUUUCUCUUACAAUGAAAACUUUGAUUCCCAACACCAAUAUAUUUACUCUUUUCAGAAGUACAAGACCAAUACCACUACCAACAAUAAACCUAAGUUCAGAAGUUCUUUGCACUUUUCUGUCCUUAGAAUAUGUAUCCUGUUCAACAAUAUAUGGUGACUGUGUUUAAAAAUUAUUUGAAUCAUAUUUUUUCCUCUGGAAUUGUCUCCUUUUUUAUUCAACUUUGGGACAAAAAUUUUACAAAAUUUUUAUUUUUAAAAUAUGUAAACUUCCAUAUCGUUCAGUCAAAACUAUAUAAAAAGCUGUUCCCAGAGAAGUCUUGCUCCCAUGCCUAUACCCUCUGCCCCAUUGCCACCCACUCCUUUUAAGUAACCAUUUUCAUUAAUUUCUGGCUUAUUCUUCCUGUGUUUUUUUUUUAAUUUGAGGUGUAAUUGACAUUAGCAUAUUAGUUUCAGGUGUACAGCAUAAUGAUUCAAUAUUUGUACUUCCUGUGUUUCUUUUUGCAAAUACAAGCAAAUUAGUGUAUAUAUUCUUGUUUCUUCUUUUUCAUUACAGAAAGAUAGUAUACUAUAUCUAUUCUUUUCACUUUCCUUAAUAAUAUGGCCUGGAAAUCACACUGUACCACUUCACAGUGCUCUUCCUCGUGGUUUUUUUUUUUAAUAUUUUAUUUCAUUUAUUGGCUUUGUUUGUUUUGGGGGGAGGUAAUUAGGUUUAUUUUACUUAUUUAUUUUAGCGGAGGUACUGGGGAUUGAACUCAGGACCUCAUGCAUGCUAGACAUAUGCUCUACCACUGAGUUCUACCCUACCCUCCUUGUUCUUUUUUUAUGUCUGUUUAAUACUUCAUUGCAUGGAUGUCCCAUGGAAUAUUUUAACAGUACUUUCAUUUCUAGGCCAGAUGACAAAGGUCUGCCAAAACCUGCAUGCAGCUGAAAUUCACUUUGGUAAUGAAUGGUUAGUAGAAUACUAUUGCUAUACUAAUAUUUUAAGACAAAAAGGCAGAAUGGAAUAUGUUUUUAAAUGUAUCUUAUAAUGUCUCUUAGAUGCUUUUGAUUGAAGAAAAGUGGGUUCAGUGAUCGGUAGGUAGAGGCUUAUAGAAUGUGGAAGGGGACCUCAGAUACUGUAAAUAUUAAAGAUGCCAUUCUUGACUCAAAAUGUGGUUUUGCAUUAAUUUACCAUGUGACCCAACAAUUCCAUUCCCAGGUAUAUUCCCACGAGAACUGAAAACACAUCCACACAAAACCUACACGAAGGUUCACAGAAGCAUUAUAUGUAAUUGCCAAAAUGUAGAAACAAUCCAAAUGUCCCUCAACUGUGAGUAGAUACGAUAUACAAUAUGGUAUAUCCAUACAAUGAAAUAUUUUUCAACAAUAAAAAGAAAUGAAGUACCCAUACGUGCUUCAAAAUGAAUGAACAUUAAACGAAGGGAGAGUUCCUUCCACAUAUUGAGUCUAUUUAUAUGAAAUGUUCAGAAAAAACAAAGUAGAUGAAUGGUUGCCUAGGGCUGGGGGUGAGAACAAGGAUUAACUGCUUGAGGAAUCUCUUUGCAGUGAUGGACAUGUUCUAAAACUGAAUUUUGGUGAUGGUUGCAUGACUCAGUAAAUUUACUAAAAAUCAUUGUUGUACACUUACAUUGGAUGAAUUUCAUGGUAUAUAAAGUGAUACCUCAAUAAAGCUGUUUAAAGAAACCAAAAA
This is a long non-coding RNA of Camelus dromedarius (Arabian camel), 2755 nucleotides long. RefSeq lists it as uncharacterized. The record is from RefSeq and is a predicted model, not a curated record. NCBI's taxonomy places the organism in Eukaryota, Metazoa, Chordata, Mammalia, Artiodactyla, Camelidae. The transcript has 2 exons.